AUUUACAAUUUAAUAUUAUUCUGUAAUAACUUUUAUCAAUCAUUCAUAAUGUAAAGUCGCUUGAUCAAUCAUCUAUCAAGUUGAAUAAAAGAUGGAGCUGAAAUCACUUUUAUUGAUAACCAAUCAUAUUGGUUUGGGUUAAAGUCAAGUUACUUCUGUUUAUUUUGGUUAAUUCAUUGUGAAAAUGAUUGAGGAAAUUAAACCUUUAACUGUCGAUGAUUAAUUUUAUAAUUUAAUUUCCAAGCUUGUCCAAGCUAAAUGGUAUCUCUUAAUUUAAUAGACAAUCCAUCAUUAAUAAUUGUCAUUCAAUACUGGCAACAACCAGAUAUUUGGUUUCGUCUGCUUUUUUUGGGUUCAUUUGGUUUUUUGGAGCGCGCCAACUUUAAUUGAAUAUGUUGCCAGUUUUUAUUAAUUUUGUAACUAUUAUUAUGGAAACUCGCAUCAUGUUUAUCAUUCAGUCCAAACGAUACAUCUUAAUGGCUCUGUGUUCGUGAUAAUCAUUAGGAUAGUCUGGAACUCAUAGAUGGCUAUUAAUAACCAUGGUCACUACGUGUUGCUAUUACAGACUCAGAUCUUUGUUUCCAUACUUGAGAGUUAUAACUUGACAAAUUAGGAUUCAUCGAUGGUAAACUUGAGAUUAACUCUGUAGACUGGUUUUGGGAAAAAUCAAUGUUUCAUGGGAACAGAUCGAUUACUAAAGUUUCAUCAUUGGCAAAAGUAAGCUGUUGACUUGAAAUUUUGUGUUUACUUGAUAUUCAACUGAAUUUUUCUAUCAAAAGUUAUUCAACCGAUUACAACAUUUCUGUGUAAUUUUCAUGAGAAACUAGACUUUAUUUGGAAACAAUACAUUCCUGUUUAACAUAAUUUUUCAUUUCCCCUCACCGUCAAGGAAAACUGUUCAAAAUAAUCUCCAGCUAAUGAAGAGAGUCUCUCUCUUUCUUUGCUUCUGAUUCCUACUCAAAAGCCAUCUGAUUAUUCAACUUUGUUUUCACAUUUAAUUCUAAUGUGAUUGAUGAAACUAUGACUUUUAAAAGUCAUUCAAUCGCAUUAGCCAUUGAUAUUGACUAGUUUGGGCUUCAAGUCAUCUAUUCAUCUUAAUGGAUUGUAGGCUCAUAAUCAACACUCAACGAAUUAUUAAAGAAAUGCGUUUUAAAUUGAAAAGUCGAAUGGAAAAAUGGAAAUGCAGCAAAUUUGAAUCAAACUUGAAGCAAAUUCAUUAAUUAUUUGACUUUUGCUCGUUUCCAUUUGAAUGCCAUUGAGUUCAACAUAAAUUCUUGGUUUAUCCCGACCUUAAUUUUAUCGCAAAGAAUAUUAAGCCAAUGGUAUGUUAAUCUAGUUAAUCAUUAAAUGAAAAGACAAUUAA
Molecule: long non-coding RNA, 1363 nt
Organism: Tetranychus urticae (two-spotted spider mite)
Lineage: Eukaryota; Metazoa; Arthropoda; Arachnida; Trombidiformes; Tetranychidae
Source: RefSeq, a predicted model, not a curated record